AGCGAACGCUGGCGGCAGGCCUAACACAUGCAAGUCGAACGGAUCCUUCGGGAUUAGUGGCGGACGGGUGAGUAACACGUGGGAACGUGCCUUUUGGUUCGGAACAACUCAGGGAAACUUGAGCUAAUACCGGAUGUGCCCUUCGGGGGAAAGAUUUAUCGCCAUUAGAGCGGCCCGCGUCUGAUUAGCUUGUUGGUGAGGUAAAGGCUCACCAAGGCUACGAUCAGUAGCUGGUCUGAGAGGAUGAUCAGCCACAUUGGGACUGAGACACGGCCCAAACUCCUACGGGAGGCAGCAGUGGGGAAUCUUGCGCAAUGGGCGAAAGCCUGACGCAGCCAUGCCGCGUGAAUGAUGAAGGUCUUAGGAUUGUAAAAUUCUUUCACCGGGACGAUAAUGACGGUACCCGGAGAAGAAGCUCCGGCUAAC
RNAcentral lists this ribosomal RNA (426 nucleotides) under uncultured bacterium. Its description in RNAcentral is "bacterial SSU rRNA". It matches the Rfam family "Bacterial small subunit ribosomal RNA", at positions 29 to 501 of the family's 1533-position model. The record is from RNAcentral.